This 464-nucleotide ribosomal RNA is filed under the name uncultured bacterium. RNAcentral describes it as "partial 16S ribosomal RNA". It matches the Rfam family "Bacterial small subunit ribosomal RNA", at positions 28 to 507 of the family's 1533-position model. The record is from RNAcentral.
GACGAACGCUGGCGGCGUGCUUAACACAUGCAAGUCGAACGGAAAGGCCCUGCUUGCAGGGUACUCGAGUGGCGAACGGGUGAGUAACACGUGGGUGAUCUGCCCUGCACUUCGGGAUAAGCCUGGGAAACUGGGUCUAAUACCGGAUAGGAGCCAUUUUUAGUGUGAUGGUUGGAAAGUUUUUUCGGUGUAGGAUGAGCUCGCGGCCUAUCAGCUUGUUGGUGGGGUAAUGGCCUACCAAGGCGGCGACGGGUAGCCGGCCUGAGAGGGUGGACGGCCAAAUUGGGACUGAGAUACGGCCAAGACUCCACCGGGAGGCAGAGGUGGGGAAUAUUGCACAAUGGGGGCAGGCUGGAUGCAGCAAGGCCGGGUGGGGGAUGACGGCCUUCGGUUGGUAAACCCCUUCCGCAGGGGACGAAGCUUUUGUGACGGUAACUAGGAAAGAAGCACCGGCUAAAUACGUG